ACAUGCAAGUCGAGCGGACAGAAGGGAGCUUGCUCCCGGAUGUUAGCGGCGGACGGGUGAGUAACACGUGGGUAACCUGCCUGUAAGACUGGGAUAACUCCGGGAAACCGGAGCUAAUACCGGAUAGUUCCUUGAACCGCAUGGUUCAAGGAUGAAAGACGGUUUCGGCUGUCACUUACAGAUGGACCCGCGGCGCAUUAGCUAGUUGGUGGGGUAAUGGCUCACCAAGGCGACGAUGCGUAGCCGACCUGAGAGGGUGAUCGGCCACACUGGGACUGAGACACGGCCCAGACUCCUACGGGAGGCAGCAGUAGGGAAUCUUCCGCAAUGGACGAAAGUCUGACGGAGCAACGCCGCGUGAGUGAUGAAGGUUUUCGGAUCGUAAAGCUCUGUUGUUAGGGAAGAACAAGUGCGAGAGUAACUGCUCGCACCUUGACGGUACCUAACCAGAAAGCCACGGCUAACUACGUGCCAGCAGCCGCGGUAAUACGUAGGUGGCAAGCGUUGUCCGGAAUUAUUGGGCGUAAAGGGCUCGCAGGCGGUUUCUUAAGUCUGAUGUGAAAGCCCCCGGCUCAACCGGGGAGGGUCAUUGGAAACUGGGAAACUUGAGUGCAGAAGAGGAGAGUGGAAUUCCACGUGUAGCGGUGAAAUGCGUAGAGAUGUGGAGGAACACCAGUGGCGAAGGCGACUCUCUGGUCUGUAACUGACGCUGAGGAGCGAAAGCGUGGGGAGCGAACAGGAUUAGAUACCCUGGUAGUCCACGCCGUAAACGAUGAGUGCUAAGUGUUAGGGGGUUUCCGCCCCUUAGUGCUGCAGCUAACGCAUUAAGCACUCCGCCUGGGGAGUACGGUCGCAAGACUGAAACUCAAAGGAAUUGACGGGGGCCCGCACAAGCGGUGGAGCAUGUGGUUUAAUUCGAAGCAACGCGAAGAACCUUACCAGGUCUUGACAUCCUCUGACAACCCUAGAGAUAGGGCUUUCCCUUCGGGGACAGAGUGACAGGUGGUGCAUGGUUGUCGUCAGCUCGUGUCGUGAGAUGUUGGGUUAAGUCCCGCAACGAGCGCAACCCUUGAUCUUAGUUGCCAGCAUUUAGUUGGGCACUCUAAGUGACUGCCGGUGACAACCGGAGGAAGGUGGGGAUGACGUCAAUCAUCAUGCCCCUUAUGACUGGGCUA
RNAcentral lists this ribosomal RNA (1175 nucleotides) under Bacillus sp. (in: firmicutes). RNAcentral describes it as "bacterial SSU rRNA". It matches the Rfam family "Bacterial small subunit ribosomal RNA", at positions 53 to 1216 of the family's 1533-position model. Lineage: Bacteria; Bacillati; Bacillota; Bacilli; Caryophanales; Bacillaceae. The record is from RNAcentral.